GUGUGUGAGUUUCCUCAUCUAUGAAACGACAAAUGGGUAGAGUAAUGAUGUCUGUGGGCAUUUCUAGUCCUGAGAGUCAAGGGUUCCUGGUGACCAUCCUCCCCUAGCAUUCUAUCCCUUGCUGAAAACUAAUGGCACAGAAGUGGGAGUCCAUUUGCACAGGCACAUAGCACACGUCUGACACACGGUAGACACUUAACAAACGUUGUUAACAUUAUCACAGCUAGGAGUAACACGAGUUAGCAUUUACUGAACAGUGAGUAUGGGUAACCCCAUGGCUUGCAUACCAUCUGUUGUUGCAUAACAAAUUAUCCCAAAAUGUAGCAGCUUAAGACAAUAAUAAACAUUUAUUAUCUCACACAGUUUCUAUGGGUCAGGAAUUCAAGAGCAGCUAAGUUGGGUGGUUCUGGAUCUGGUCUCUAAGGAGGUUGUAGUCAAGAAGUUGGCUUGGGCUGGGCACGGUGGCGCAUGCCUGUAACCCCAACACUUUGGGAGACUGAGGCAGGAAGCUUGAUCCAGGAGUUUGAGACUAGUGUGGGCAACAAAGGAAGACCUUGUCUCUACAAAAAAAAAAAAUUUUAGCUGGGCAUGGUGAUGCGUGCCUGCAGUCCUAGCUACUCAGGAGGCUAAGGUAGGAGGAUCACUUGAGCCCAGGAGGUCAAGACUGCAGCGAGCUGUGAUAGUGCCACUGUACUCCAGGCCGGGCAGCACAGUGAGACUCUCUUUUUUUUUUUUUGAGCUGGGGCUGCAGUUGAGUUUAGCAGAAUGCUUGACUGGAGCUGAAGGAUCCACUAACAAGAUGGCACACUCAUAGUUGGCAACUUGGUGAGAGGCCUCAGUUCCUCAGUACAUAAUACCUCUCCAUAGGGCUGCUUGAGCAUCCUUAUAACAUGGCACUGGCUUCCCCCAGGGCCAGUGAUCCAAAAGAGCAAGACAAAAGUGGUACUAUAUUUUAUGACCUAGCCCCAGAAGUCACACACUAUCAUUUCCACUGUAUUCUAUUGGACACACAGACCAACCCUGAUACAGUACGGGAGGCAACUGCACAAGGACCUGAUUACCAGGAGGCAAGAAUUAUUGAGCUCUAUCUUGGAGGCUAUCACAGUCUGUUCUAAGUGUUUAAUAGGUAUUAAUUCAUUUGUUAAUUCAUGACACUGAUACCAGUAUAAUCCCCAUUUUACAGAUGAGAAAACUGAGUCACACAGAGAUUAAGUAACUUGCUUAAGGUUGCACUUCUAGGAAAUGGACUGGGGUGUUGUCGUGGACUGAAUGCUUGUGUUCCCCCAAAAUUCACAUAUGGAAGCCCUAACCCCAAAUGUGAAGGUAUUUGAAGAUGGGGCCUUUGGGAGGUAAUUAGGGUUAGAUGAGUUCAUGAAAGUAGGUCCAAUGGCAUUCGUGCCCUUAUAAGAAGAGACACAAGGCUGGGCAGCUGGGCAGAAUGGGCAUGGUGGCUCACGCCUAUAAUUCCAGCACUUUGGGAGGUCAAGGUGGAAGGAUCACUUGAGCCCAGGAGUUCGAGACCAGCCUGGGCAAUAGAACAGACCUUGUCUCUACCAAAAAAAAAAAAAAAAA
This 1572-nucleotide long non-coding RNA is filed under the name Macaca fascicularis (crab-eating macaque). RNAcentral's name for it is "lncRNA (ENSMFAG00000062380.1)". Lineage: Eukaryota; Metazoa; Chordata; Mammalia; Primates; Cercopithecidae. The record is from RNAcentral.